GUGCCAGCCGCCGCGGUAAUACAGAGGUCCCGAGCGUUGUUCGGAUUCACUGGGCGUAAAGGGUGCGUAGGUGGCGAGGUAAGUCGGAUGUGAAAGCUCGGAGCUCAACUCCGAAAUGGCAUUGGAAACUACCUUGCUCGAGGGUUGGAGGGGGGACUGGAAUACUUGGUGUAGCAGUGAAAUGCGUAGAUAUCAAGUGGAACACCAGUGGCGAAGGCGAGUCCCUGGACAACUCCUGACACUGAGGCACGAAAGCUAGGGGAGCAAACAGGAUUAGAAACCCGCGUAGUCC
RNAcentral lists this ribosomal RNA (292 nucleotides) under uncultured bacterium. RNAcentral's name for it is "partial 16S ribosomal RNA". It matches the Rfam family "Bacterial small subunit ribosomal RNA", at positions 505 to 796 of the family's 1533-position model. The record is from RNAcentral.